CGCGCGGUCGCGCACGGUGACGGGCGCGCCCGGCCGCGCGCGCCGGGCAGAGGCGGUGGCCGCGGACGCGGUCGCGCAGCGCAUCCGCGCGG
RNAcentral lists this transfer RNA (92 nucleotides) under Streptomonospora litoralis. RNAcentral's name for it is "Streptomonospora sp. M2 tRNA-Ala". The record is from RNAcentral. Lineage: Bacteria; Bacillati; Actinomycetota; Actinomycetes; Streptosporangiales; Nocardiopsidaceae.